Molecule: ribosomal RNA, 252 nt
Filed under: uncultured bacterium
Lineage: Bacteria
Also listed under: 1 other name
Description: partial 16S ribosomal RNA
Rfam family: Bacterial small subunit ribosomal RNA
Source: RNAcentral
UACGUAGGGGGCAAGCGUUGUCCGGAAUUAUUGGGCGUAAAGCGCGCGCAGGCGGCUGUUUAAGUCUGGUGUUUAAGGCAAGAGCUUAACUCUUGUUCGCAUCGGAAACUGGGCAGCUUGAGUGUAGGAGAGGAAAGUGGAAUUCCACGUGUAGCGGUGAAAUGCGUAGAGAUGUGGAGGAACACCAGUGGCGAAGGCGACUUUCUGGCCUAUAACUGACGCUGAGGCGCGAAAGCGUGGGGAGCAAACAGG